GCUGUGAAGGGGUAACCCAGAAGGGGGAUAUAGUUUGAGAUGUAAACAAAUGGAAUGAUUAAUUGAAAAAGUAAAAAAAAUAAAAUAAAAAAUAAAAAAUAAAACCUUACUUUGGUUUCACUUUUCCAAAGAUGGGAUUUGGAAAGGGCCCUGAAGUGUAAAGCAGGCGUCUGAAGAAACAACUUGACAGCUUUUAUAAACCCAUUUACAAAAUUUAAACUGGGCCUUUUAUUCAUUCUCUGCUGUUAUUAUGAGAAAAAUUUUCACUUAAUACCUUAAUGUAUUAGAUGGGCACAGGUAUUGCAUUUUUUCUUUAAAGAAACAAAUAGUUAUUUAAAAUAUUUCAUCUGCUUCUGCGACUGAUCCAGGAGGAAUGCAGAUCUAUCUAGCAGUCUCCUUGUCUUUAGUCUUGAGAACUGCACGCGUCAACAUAAACCUAGCGUUCUCAAGCCUUAUAGCGAUUGGAAAGGACCCUGGCUCUGCGUGUACAUCUGCAUACAGGUUUGCUUGAUUAAUUGCUACUUGACUUCUCUAUCAUAAUGCUAAGCUUUGGGAUCAUAAAAGAUCAGACUCCCAAACCUCUUCCUGGAAUUAAUUUAAAUAUUUAAUGUCAAAACCUUGGAAAGAUUCAGAAAAAACUGGUUUCUUUUGUUAGUAGUAGACUAUUUUAGUAUGGUCCCUUAAAAACAAAAGUUUCAUAUUAAUUCAUUAUUCUGAUCUCUCCAUGUAAAAAUUGUAACAAUAUUAGUAAAAUACAAUUAAAUUAUGUAAUAAUGUAUAUAUUUAAAUUUUAUUCAAUCUAAAAUGUCUGAUAAGUGUAUAACUCAUAAAUAUGUAAAGGAAGUUGAGUUUUCAGAGGUUUUUUAAAUUAUCAUUGAAAAAUCAAAGUACUUUUUAUUUUUAGUAUCUGAUUUUUAUUUAUUCACAAUGUUGAUAUUAGAUAAAAUUUACAGACACAAAUGAAACAUGGAAUUAUUAAAUGGGCAAUUUGAUGCUUAUACUCAUAUCACCACAUCCCUGUGAGUACCUAGAACACUUCUAUGUCUUAAUAUUCUAAGAGGUUUCUAUUAUUUAUAUCCUUUUUCAUUACCCCUGCUCAAUCCAGAGAGCUUCUCUGAUCUGUUUAAACUACAGAUUUGCUUUUUAUUUAUAGAACUUCAUGUACACAGAAUCAUUUCGUUAGCAAAAUAUUUGUGUAUUCAUUUUUCCAUAAGUUUAUUCAUUUUAUUAGAAAGUAACAUUGUUCAUUGUUUAAUAUUACAUUUGUAUUCAGUCUUUUGUAAAUGCUCAUUACAAUCAUUCAAGUUAUUACAAUGUAAAAUGGCUUUGACAGUUCCCAUACAAGGAUUUCUUUGUGUGGAUGCAUAUUUUCUUUUCCUGGUCAAAUACCUGAGUCAUAAAAGAGAAAUAUACUAAUUUCAAAAUAAAAUAUACAUAUUUAUAGAAGAGACUGCAUUAUUUUAUACUCAGUAAUUGAAGUUCAGCUUCCCCCAACAUAUACUAAUCAAUCUUUUGUUAAUCACGGUCAUUUCAGUAAAUGUGCACUGGUAUGGCAUUCUCUAUUUAAUAUCCAUUUCUCAGUGACUAAUGGUGUUGAACAUUUUAUUUAUUUACUGUCCAGUGGUCAUGCUUUUCUCUUUGAAAUAUUUCUUUAAAUCUUUUACAAUUUUUUAAUUUGGCAAUUUUUCUUUUUAUUGUUGUCUUAUAGAGAAUUAUGGAUUCUGAAUGAAUUAUGUUUAUCAAUCAUACUUUCUCCUAGAGUAUUUAUUUACCUGUUCAUUUUAUUUUAUUAAAAAAUAUUUUCAAAAAAACCC
RNAcentral lists this long non-coding RNA (1814 nucleotides) under Mus musculus (house mouse). RNAcentral's name for it is "long non-coding RNA chr12:57347056-57348870". Lineage: Eukaryota; Metazoa; Chordata; Mammalia; Rodentia; Muridae. The record is from RNAcentral.